Molecule: ribosomal RNA, 391 nt
Filed under: uncultured bacterium
Lineage: Bacteria
Description: bacterial SSU rRNA
Rfam family: Bacterial small subunit ribosomal RNA
Source: RNAcentral
GACGAACGCUGGCGGCGUGCUUAACACAUGCAAGUCGAGCGGUAAGGCCCUUUCGGGGGUACGACGAGCGGCGAACGGGUGAGUAACACGUGGGUGACCUGCCCUCAGCUCUGGGAUAAGCCUGGGAAACCGGGGUCUAAUACUGGAUAUGACUCCAUGACGCAUGUUGUGGGGUGGAAAGCCUUGUGCGGCUGAGGAUGGGCCCGCGGCCUAUCAGCUUGUUGGUGGGGUGAGGCCUACCAAGGCGACGACGGGUAGCCGGCCUGAGAGGGCGACCGGCCACACUGGGACUGAGACACGGCCCAGACUCCUACGGGAGGCAGCAGUGGGGAAUCUUGCGCAAUGGGCGAAAGCCUGACGCAGCGACGCCGCGUGAGGGAUGACGGCCUGG